Molecule: ribosomal RNA, 738 nt
Filed under: uncultured bacterium
Lineage: Bacteria
Description: bacterial SSU rRNA
Rfam family: Bacterial small subunit ribosomal RNA
Source: RNAcentral
CGGGUGAGUAACACGUGGGUAACCUACCUUAAACUUGGGGAUAACACUUGGAAACAGGUGCUAAUACCGCAUAACCAUCAAAACCGCCUGGUUUUGAUGUUAAAGAUGGUUCUGCUAUCGCUUUAAGAUGGACCCGCGGCGUAUUAGCUAGUUGGUGAGGUAAUGGCUUACCAAGGCAAUGAUACGUAGCCGAACUGAGAGGUUGAUCGGCCACAUUGGGACUGAGACACGGCCCAAACUCCUACGGGAGGCAGCAGUAGGGAAUCUUCCACAAUGGACGAAAGUCUGAUGGAGCAACGCCGCGUGAGUGAAGAAGGUUUUCGGAUCGUAAAACUCUGUUGUCAGAGAAGAACGUGUGUGAGAGUAACUGUUCACGCAGUGACGGUAUCUGACCAGAAAGUCACGGCUAACUACGUGCCAGCAGCCGCGGUAAUACGUAGGUGGCAAGCGUUGUCCGGAUUUAUUGGGCGUAAAGGGAACGCAGGCGGUCUUUUAAGUCUGAUGUGAAAGCCUUCGGCUUAACCGAAGUCGGGCAUUGGAAACUGGGAGACUUGAGUGCAGAAGAGGAGAGUGGAACUCCAUGUGUAGCGGUGAAAUGCGUAGAUAUAUGGAAGAACACCAGUGGCGAAAGCGGCUCUCUGGUCUGUAACUGACGCUGAGGUUCGAAAGCGUGGGUAGCAAACAGGAUUAGAUACCCUGGUAGUCCACGCCGUAAACGAUGAAUGCUAAGUGUUGGAG